RNAcentral lists this long non-coding RNA (2498 nucleotides) under Nicotiana tabacum (common tobacco). Its description in RNAcentral is "long non-coding RNA (NTAB_LNC014601)". Lineage: Eukaryota; Viridiplantae; Streptophyta; Magnoliopsida; Solanales; Solanaceae. The record is from RNAcentral.
CUAAACUAAGAAAAAGAAAACCAUUUUUGAACGUGGAUGAACAAGCUUUUGAGAUUACUGGAGUCAAAUAGCCAAACUAAAACCAAUAACCAAGUUUUGCCCCCCUUUUUUCAGAGCAUACUAAUACACUUUAAAAUAUAGCUACAUACUACAUUAACUAGUAUAUAAAUUACAGAGUCCAGUCCAAUUAAUUGCAGAUUCCAGAAUUGAACAAAGUACCAAAUAUAGACCAUUAGUGCCCUAAACGAGAUUACAUAGAAAAAAUGAAAGGGAGUUCCUAGGCUGCUGCUGCUCCAGCUUAAAAUGAGUCAAGAUUCUCAUGAAUUUGACCACGUAUAAGGGUCAGAUUCACAAGAUAUCUUCAAAUGUAGGGACCUACAAUAUUACCAAGUUAGUCUUAAUACAAAAAAUGAGUAAAGGAAAAAAUAAUGUUGUUCGUAAGUUUAACCAUGUUGAAGGUCAGCCUUAUAGACAAACAGUGAUUUCCUAAACCAUGAUUUGUUUCAUGGCUCUCAUUUUAGUAAAAGAGGAAAGAGAAGAAGGGGAAAUAACAUAGGCAUAUACUAAACAAAUCAAUACUAUUAUGCACUAUUAAGGGAUGAAUCUGACCAUUUAAAGGGUCAGAUUCACUUUCCUUUUGUGCAGCUAUAAGAGAGGAGUUUUGAACACAUCUUUCAUAAGUGUAUGUAUACUGAUUCAGCAGUCAAACAUAUUGAGGUUUAACACAUAUGCAUCACAGACUUUAUGAUCAAAUGCAGCAAAUAUUCAGACUAACCCAUGGUUCAAUUAACUUCAAAUCCAAAAAGCUAUGAUUCCUAGGCUAACAUCAUAAUCAGCUAACCACACAAGCUCAAAAAAACAGAAAAUGAAUAUCAAUUCUAAAAGAUUGUGUAUAUCCCCUCAAUUUCAGAGUGUGUGCACCUAUAUAUAGGCUGCCUUGGGGAGGGUAUCUUUUAAGCAUAUUCCUUAUCCUAGGGAAUAAUAGUACUGUCCUUUUUUACAGCCCUUGGUACAGUUGUCCUAUAUUUCAGCAUCUUUUUAUAACAGCUAGGACAGCUGUACCUUUUCUAUGAAAGUUUUGAUUUUUAGUCUAUGUGGAAAACCAUUUUUAACCUUCAAAUUACAGCUUAUUUCAGCUUUAACUUAAACCUUUUCAAUUCAAAUAGGUCUCUAAAGUUUAGAAUGAUUUUUAGAUUAGGACCAACAUAAAAAAACCUAAAGACAUCAGAAAUCUUAGUCAAAAGGCCUAGAAAAAGCUGAGGCUGCCACCUAGAACUAAGACUAAAUCAAUCCAUGAGGAGAGAUGUUCUCUUAAUUGAACCUAAACUAAAUUUAGAAUGACUAAAGCCUUUAUAAUUAAACCAAAUUACCAAAAUGGGCUAAGAAAAGACCUUAAACAGACUUGAACUUAACAUUAAUCUAACUUAUGAGAUUCAAGCAUGUUUCCAUCAAUUAAACACCAAAUAGCAACAUGAAGCAGAAAAGAGCAAUCAAGCUAUCUAGACCUCUAAAAUUAACCCUAAUUAUUCUAUGUCUAAUGCAAUUAAACUACAAUAUUCAAACAGGCUUCAAUUGACACAUGAAAACAAUUCAUAAUAAACUCUGAAUCAACAUGCAUUAACCAAACUAAAAGCUAAUUAAACGAUGCAUUCAUACUAAGCUACGGAAAAGAGAUAACUGAAACUACUGAUUAUUCUAUAAGCUAAAUUAAUCCCGAGCUAAACUAAAUCAACAAUCCAAGUGAAACUUGAACAGAAAAACCAAAACGAACAAACUAAUGCAUCAUAGAACAAAAUUACUAACUAAACAUGUCCAAAGAACAAUCAAACUGAAAAUCAAAUUAUGAAGACUACUGACUUGACAAGAAAAAGAAAGAAAUAAGAAAAGAAAUGGAGUGGUAAAAAUGAAUGAUGCCUUACCAUGGGGACCGGAAGAAACAAACGACAGAAGCCUUUGGAGGUCCGUCUUCGCCUUGACCAACAAAGGUCUUUUUCUUCAAGGGAUCUGGCCUUGCAUGACUUUGACUGGAUCUCCCUGAAAGAAAAGACUUCUGGGAACCUUAACUUUGAAGGAAAAGAGAAGCAAAGGAGCUUUGGGGUUGAUUUUGGGAGAUUAGGUUUUUUUUGUUUGACUCUUAGAUCUGCAACUCAAAUAAUUAGGCGAUGAUUUUGGAAAAACUAGUCGGGUAUCUAAGACGAGGAGGGGAAGGGGAGUUUGGGGUGUUAAAAUGGUGAGGUUUGGAACAUUUGGGUUUUUUUAGCCGGAUUUUCGAUUUGAUAUUCAAAAGAUUUGGCAAAGAUUCGAGGAAAAUUGAUUGGAGAUCUGUAAUGAGGAAGGGAUAAGGGUUCUAUGGUGUAUAUUUGGAUGGCUUUAGACCGUCGGAACUGCCAUAAAGCGAUUUCCGGUAGUAGUUUACCGCGGAGGUGGUGAAGAAAAUGAGGGCUCCUAGGGUUACGUUGGGUGAGGGUGAGAUACAGAGAAAAUGAGAUGAAUUUUUA